GUCAAUGUGUAUAAAGAAAGUUUAUUUGUUCAACAACAUUAUAUCAUUGGAGAGCACUAGUAGAGUAGAUUAUAUACAAUAAAGAGUUGUAGAGUACUUAGUUACAAUGGAUAAAAUGUGUAUACCAUCUAUAUAUAUAUCUCAAUAAAUAUGUAUACAUAAUGCAGUCCAUAAUGCAAUGUUUUAGCACCAUAUGAAAUCAGAGAGCAAUAUUGGAUGAUGUCACUAGGACAAGUGAGCAAUUAGUAGCUGGAGACAACUUUAAGUGGCCAAGUCAAGAUCAGACAGAGAAAGUGUCUCCCAGCCGUUAACUAUGGCACACAGUCUUUGACUCUUUAAAGCUAACAGUAAUACAAAUAGUAAUUCCCCCCCCCCCCCC
Non-coding RNA from Biomphalaria pfeifferi, 379 nucleotides. The record is from the annotation of a GenBank genome assembly. NCBI's taxonomy places the organism in Eukaryota, Metazoa, Mollusca, Gastropoda, Planorbidae.